This 450-nucleotide ribosomal RNA is filed under the name uncultured bacterium. RNAcentral describes it as "bacterial SSU rRNA". It matches the Rfam family "Bacterial small subunit ribosomal RNA", at positions 8 to 507 of the family's 1533-position model. The record is from RNAcentral.
AGAGUUUGAUCAUGGCUCAGAAUGAACGCUGGCGGCAUGCCUAACACAUGCAAGUCGAACGAAGCCUUCGGGCUUAGUGGCGCACGGGUGCGUAACGCGUGGGAAUCUGCCCUUGGGUUCGGAAUAACAGUUAGAAAUGACUGCUAAUACCGAAUGAUGUCGUAAGACCAAAGAUUUAUCGCCAGGGAUGAGCCCGCGUAGGAUUAGCUAGUUGGUGUGGUAAAGGCGCACCAAGGCGACGAUCCUUAGCUGGUCUGAGAGGAUGAUCAGCCACACUGGGACUGAGACACGGCCCAGACUCCUACGGGAGGCAGCAGUGGGGAAUAUUGGACAAUGGCGAAAGCCUGAUCCAGCAAUGCCGCGUGAGUGAUGAAGGCCUUAGGGUUGUAAAGCUCUUUACCCGGGAUGAUAAUGACAGUACCGGGAGAAUAAGCUCCGGCUAACUCCGUG